GGGCGGUUAGCUCAGAUGGUUAGAGCGCUACGUUGACAUCGUAGAGGUCGUUAGUUCGAUUCUAAUACCGCCCA
This 74-nucleotide transfer RNA is filed under the name Reticulomyxa filosa. It matches the Rfam family "tRNA". Rfam says of the family: Transfer RNA (tRNA) molecules are approximately 80 nucleotides in length. The record is from Rfam by way of RNAcentral. Lineage: Eukaryota; Foraminifera; Reticulomyxidae.